This 426-nucleotide ribosomal RNA is filed under the name uncultured Bacteroidota bacterium. Its description in RNAcentral is "bacterial SSU rRNA". It matches the Rfam family "Bacterial small subunit ribosomal RNA", at positions 547 to 975 of the family's 1533-position model. Lineage: Bacteria; Pseudomonadati; Bacteroidota. The record is from RNAcentral.
GGAUUUAUUGGGUUUAAAGGGUGCGUAGGUGGGCUUAUAAGUCAGCGGUGAAAUCCCCCGGCUCAACCAGGGAAUUGCCGUUGAUACUGUUAGCCUUGAGUACAGUUGAAGUGGGCGGAAUGUAGCAUGUAGCGGUGAAAUGCAUAGAUAUGCUACAGAACACCAAUAGCGAAGGCAGCUCACUAAGUUGUAACUGACACUAAUGCACGAAAGUGUGGGGAUCAAACAGGAUUAGAUACCCUGGUAGUCCACGCUGUAAACGAUGAUCACUCGUUGUUGGCGAUAUACAGUCAGCGACUGAACGAAAGUAUUAAGUGAUCCACCUGGGGAGUACGAUCGCAAGGUUGAAACUCAAAGGAAUUGACGGGGGCCCGCACAAGCGGUGGAGCAUGUGGUUUAAUUCGAUGAUACGCGAGGAACCUUACC